UAAUUAUACCAAUAACUUCGCCUUUUCU
Molecule: non-coding RNA, 28 nt
Filed under: Rattus norvegicus (Norway rat)
Lineage: Eukaryota; Metazoa; Chordata; Mammalia; Rodentia; Muridae
Source: RNAcentral